Molecule: ribosomal RNA, 253 nt
Filed under: uncultured bacterium
Lineage: Bacteria
Description: partial 16S ribosomal RNA
Rfam family: Bacterial small subunit ribosomal RNA
Source: RNAcentral
UACGUAGGGAGCAAGCGUUGUCCGGAAUCACUGGGCGUAAAGAGCACGUAGGCGGCCUGGUAAGUUAGGAGUGAAACCCGUCGGCUCAACCGACGGCCUGCUUCUAAAACUGCCGGGCUUGAGUGCAGAAGAGGAGAGUGGAAUUCCCAGUGUAGCGGUGAAAUGCGUAGAUAUUAGGAGGAACACCAGUGGCUAAGGCGACUCCCUGGACUGGCCCUGACGCUGAGGCGCGAAAGCGUGGGGAGCGAACAGG